This 207-nucleotide ribosomal RNA is filed under the name uncultured bacterium. RNAcentral describes it as "partial 16S ribosomal RNA". It matches the Rfam family "Bacterial small subunit ribosomal RNA", at positions 568 to 774 of the family's 1533-position model. The record is from RNAcentral.
UGCGUAGGCGGUUUUGCAAGUCAGAAGUGAAAGCCCAGGGCUUAACCUUGGAACUGCUUUUGAAACUGCAAAACUAGAGUCCCGGAGAGGUUGGCGGAAUUCCGAGUGUAGAGGUGAAAUUCGCAGAUAUUCGGAGGAACACCAGUGGCGUAAGCGGCCAACUGGACGGGAACUGACGCUGAGGUACGAAAGCGUGGGGAGCAAACA